UCACGGGAGUAGCAAUACAACGUGGUGGCGACCGGCGCACGGGUGAGUAACGCGUAUGCAACCGUACCUAUCGAGAGGGGAAUAACCCGGCGAAAGUCGGACUAAUACCGCAUAAAACAGGGGCACCGCAUGGUGAUAUUUGUUAAAGAAAUUCGCUGAUAGAUGGGCAUGCGUUCCAUUAGGUAGUUGGUGAGGUAACGGCUCACCAAGCCGACGAUGGAUAGGGGAACUGAGAGGUUGGUCCCCCACACUGGUACUGAGACACGGACCAGACUCCUACGGGAGGCAGCAGUGAGGAAUAUUGGUCAAUGGGCGGGAGCCUGAACCAGCCAAGUCGCGUGAAGGGAAAAGAAGGAUCUAUGGUUCGUAAAACUUCUUUUGCAGGGGAAUAAAGUGCAGGACGUGUCCUGUUUUGUAUGUACCCUGAGAAUAAGGAUCGGCUAACUCCGUGCCAGCAGCUGC
Molecule: ribosomal RNA, 462 nt
Filed under: uncultured bacterium
Lineage: Bacteria
Description: bacterial SSU rRNA
Rfam family: Bacterial small subunit ribosomal RNA
Source: RNAcentral